CCUUGGAAACAUUAAUGCAUAGUGUCUUUGGAGGGCAUGACGGGAUGGAAUGACCAAGUUUUUACACACUGUUAUCCUGCCUCCAGUUCCACAAAGCAAUCUUAGAGCUAUGACUAUCAUAAAUU
Long non-coding RNA from Haliotis rubra (blacklip abalone), 125 nucleotides. RefSeq lists it as uncharacterized. The record is from RefSeq and is a predicted model, not a curated record. The transcript has 3 exons. Lineage: Eukaryota; Metazoa; Mollusca; Gastropoda; Lepetellida; Haliotidae.